GCCUGAUCUUUUGGCCAGAAGGAGAUUAAAAUGAUGCCCCUUAAGAUGGCUGUGCCUGUCAGCUGCAUGGAGCUUCGUUCGAGUAUUUUCUGAGCCUGAUGGAUUUACAGUGAUCUUCGGUCGUCUGAGGAAUAACUCUGGUGGAACAAUGCACUGGAAUGACACACGCCCUGCACAUUUCAGGAUACUAAAAGUGGUUUUGAAGGAGGCCCUGGCUGAAUGCCUCAUGGAUUCUUACAGCUUGGAUGUCCAUGUGGGAUGAAGGACCGCAGCUGGCUGCGAGGACUGAGAUCUCUGUUUACUUGGGUCUCUGCCAACUUCCUUUGGGUCUCCCUAUGGAAUGUAAGACCCCGACUCCUCCUGGUGAAGCGUCUGAUGCAUGUUCCGUCCGGCGCUCAGCUGGGCUUGAGCUGACCACGCUCCCUGGAGCCUUCUCCCGAGGUGGCGCAGGUGUCCUUGGCACAUACAGCCGUGGUGAUGGUACUUUAAGUGGAGGCUGAAUCAUUUCCCCUUUGAGCUGCAUGGCACAUGGCUCCCUUGGUGUUCCCAUUUUACAGCCAGGACACUGAGAUUUGGAGAGGUAAGUGGCUUACCAGAGGCCAUGUGCUAACAGAGAAGAUGAAGAGAUGAUUGAAGCAGGCCUGAGGGUCUAUACAUUUUCCACAUACUUUCCAUAUCUUUAGAGGCCUGACCAAAGCAGAGCUUUUCCUUUCUUCUAGGUAAGUCCAAAGGCACCUGCCUGCUGGGCCCACUGUUUUGUAACUUUCUGAUCCCUUGGGGGUGAUGGUCAAAUAUUCGAGUCUGAGGCAUUGGGAUACAUGAUGCCGGGUUCUGAGGCUGUGUGUCAGGCCUAAACCCUGCAUUUUGUGGAGGUGUGUGAGAGAAUAUUCCCCCAGGGAACAUGCCUAGACACAGGGGGGUAACAGUUGCCCUCAUGGGGAGGCAUCUGUUUACUCGCUGCUAUGGGACCAUUUCAGCCUUUCACAAAACCACUGCAGGUGAGUGAGUUCCUGCUGAAUACCAGGCCUGGUCUCUUUAGACUCAUUAUUCCCCAACCCCCCCCUCCCCGCCCCACAACCCCUAUGCUAGUUCAUCUCUAGCCACAUUUUUAUUGCCAUCAUCCAGGCCUGGGCAGGCCAAGAUCUUUUAACAAUUUUAAUCACUGAAAAUAAUAACUGCAUUUUUUUUAAAGCCUAACUUUUGGUAGAGUCAGCCCAAAAUACAGUCUUUGUGUUGCUAUGUGGGAACUGGAUUUGGAAUUGUUCUUCCAUGAGACUGUAGAGCAGAACAGCAGGGCCAGAGGUCCCAGGAGCUGGUCAGACCUGGCUCUGCUCCUUCAUGGCUGAGCGACCUUGGGCAUUGUGAUUCAUAUUCUCAUCUGCCUCCAAGUGUGGCUACGAAUGCUUUUUAUCCCACUUAUCAAUUUCUAUGAUUGCCAUAAAAUAUUAACACAAAUUUAGCAUUUAUACACCAUAAUAUAUUAAUGCAUAGUUUUUUUUUGGGAGCGGGGACAGCGUUGAGACAGAGUCUUGCUCUGUCACCCAGGCUGGAGUGCAAUGGUUUGAUCCUGGCCCACUGCAGCCUUGACCUCCAGGGCUCAAGGGAUCCUCCCACCUCAGUCUCCAGAGUAGCUGGGACUACAGGCGUGAGCUACCACGCCUGGCUAAUUUUUUGUAUUUUUUGUAGAGACGAGGUCUCACUAUCUUGCCCAGGCUAGCCUGAAACUCUUGGACUCAAGCGAUCCUCCCACCUCGGCUUCCUAAAGUGCUGGGAUUACAGGUGUGAACCACUGUGCCUGGCUCAUGUCCAGUUAUCUAGGGCAGAGGUCAGACACGGAUCUCUCCAGGCUCACAUCAAGGAGCCUGUAGGCUGCCUUCCUUUCUGGAGACUGCGGGGGAGAGUCUGUUUCCUUGCUCAUCCUGGGUGUUGGCAGAAUUCGUUGCCUUGAGGUUGUAGGACUGAGAUCCUGUUUUGUUGCUGGCUGUCCAGUUGCACUGAGCUUCUGGGAGCCUCCCCUCUAGGCUUAUGGCCUCCUCUCUCCAUUUUCAAGUCCAGCAAUGGUGGGUCCAGUUCCUUUUAGGAUUUAAAUCUCUUCUCCCUCUUUCUUUUCACUUCUGUGAUCUCAGCUAGAAAAGAUUGUCUAAUUUUAAGGAUUCAUGUGAUUGAACUGGGGCCACGCUGAUAAUCCAGAAUAAUCCCUACUUCAAGGUCCUUAGCUUUAGUCACAUCUAGGAAGUUCCAUUGCCAUGGGAGGCAACAUAUUCACAGGUUCCAGCAAAUUCCGACAUGGACAUCUCUUUGAUUGGCAUGGAGUGUGGCAGGUAUUCUGACACGGUACCUCAGAACGGUUGCUGUGAUGAUUAAGUGAAUGGAUACAUGUAAAGCACUUAAAAUAUUAUGUUGAGCCAUAUGAAUUUGGCAGCAUUGAAUUGUUGACCUAUAAAAGGUCAACUUAAUAGUAUCUGGUCUAUAGUAAAUCCUCAGUAAAUGUUUGCUGUCAUU
This is a long non-coding RNA of Macaca fascicularis (crab-eating macaque), 2502 nucleotides long. NCBI's taxonomy places the organism in Eukaryota, Metazoa, Chordata, Mammalia, Primates, Cercopithecidae. The record is from Ensembl.